This is a long non-coding RNA of Cryptomeria japonica (Japanese cedar), 1543 nucleotides long. RefSeq lists it as uncharacterized. NCBI's taxonomy places the organism in Eukaryota, Viridiplantae, Streptophyta, Pinopsida, Cupressales, Cupressaceae. The transcript is spliced from 2 exons. The record is from RefSeq and is a predicted model, not a curated record.
GCCCUGAUGAUGAAGCAAGAUAAAAGAAGGCCCUCAUAAUCCAUCAUCAGACAAUAGAAAGCAAGAGAAAAGGCGGCCUUGAUCUGCUCUGUACUUGCUAUAUCAUUGAUCUAUUGUUUUCCCGGAUUUCAAUACACCCAUCUUAAAGACGUUGAUAUUGCACUCGGAAAGACGUGUGUUGUGGGUUCUUUUGACAUCUUUACAUGUUUAUCUGCAGUCAUUAUAUAUCCUUAUAAGCUGGUGUUUUGCUAAAUAUCCAAGGCUGUUAGCCUGGGCCCUGAACAAAACUGGGUUCAUAACAAUCUGCUGGGACAGAGAUUACUAAAUGGAAAGUAGUCAAAAUGUUGGACAAAUUACCCGAGCUGAGAAGACAUGGUUGCACGGGCACCUAUACUGUUUGGGCCCAAUAAAUGUUGCAAGCCUUACAGAGUAUAAUGACGUUGGCCCAACUGAUUCUAGCAUGCAACGAUAUGGUCGGGGUCGUCUUGGAGAAUACCAGCCAGGUGCAUGACAAGACUCUUGCAGACUCUUGCAGCGACUACCAACGAUGGAAUGAUUUGGCUGCACGUGGAUGCAGAGAGAGAGUCUUGGAGACCCUUGUAGCGAUUGCCAAUGAUGGGAAUGACUUUACUGCAGGUGAAUUCAGGGAUCAUUCGAGAAGGAAAUGGUUAUUCAGUCCUUCGAAUGUACAAAAUACAUGAGUUAUUUUCAUGCAUCAUAAUUUAUGUAUUAGUGUAUCUUAGGGCUGGCUAAGUGUCUGAGAACACAUUCAGUGUCUAAGAAGAUCAGAUCCGUGUAGUGACCGCCAAUGAUGGAAUGAUUUGGGUGCCGUUAAAUUCUGGGAUUAUUGGAGAACGAAAUGACUAUCCAGCCCUUCCAAUGACCAAUUCAUAAGUUACUCUCAUGCAUCGUAACUUCUGCAUUAGUGCAUCAUAAGAAUUAGAUAACGUCUGAAGAUAUGGAAAUGGUUAUCCAGCUUUUCUGAUGUACCGAUACAUAAAUUACUCUCGGACAACAUAAAGACUAGAUAAUUCGACUGAGAAUAAUCCAGUACCUAGCAAGACCCUUUUAGCGACCGCCAACAAUGGGAAUGACUUGGCUACGGCAGGACAUGAAAGAUCUGCAUCUGUCAUCAUUGGCUAUAAUCAAGGAAGAAAAGAAUCAAUUGGUGUCACCUGAAUUGGAGUAGCCUGAGCUUGUGUUUGGGAGUCUACCUUGAUGUUAAAAUAGUUGUGUUUAUUUCAUAUUUACCCAUCCUACAGUUUAUCCGGUGUUGGGUUCUUCGCUGACUUCUGGUUAGGAAGGUCAAGAUCGGAGUGGGUGGUGCGGUCUGGUUCUGUUGUUUUAUUAGGAUGUGUGGGGCUGCUUUGGUUUCAUAUCCUGUUUUGGCUUUUUAACUUUUAUGUUACGAGGGCUAAUCGGACAUGUAUUUUUCGAACUCUGUAAAGAAGGCAGCUUUUCUAGAGUUUUGGUCCCACAGGAGUUCUUGUCCUUGUAAUGAUGGCAUUGUAGUUUCUGCUGUAUUUAAUAAAAGUACUUUUUU